GGUAUCUUGGCCGAGCGGUCUAAGGCGCCGCACUCAAGUUGCGGUCUCGAAAGAGGCGUGAGUUCGAAUCUCACAGAUACCA
This is a transfer RNA of Smittium mucronatum, 82 nucleotides long. It matches the Rfam family "tRNA". Rfam says of the family: Transfer RNA (tRNA) molecules are approximately 80 nucleotides in length. The record is from Rfam. NCBI's taxonomy places the organism in Eukaryota, Fungi, Kickxellomycota, Harpellomycetes, Harpellales, Legeriomycetaceae.